GAUUGCAGGCUGCAACCCGCCUGCAUGAAGUCGGAAUUGCUAGUAAUCGCGGAUCAGCAUGCCGCGGUGAAUACGUUCCCGGGCCUUGUACACACCGCCCGUCACACCAUGGGAGCCGGUAAUACCCGAAGUCAGUAGUCCAACCACGUGAGGACGCUGCCGAAGGUAGGAUUGGCGACUGGGGUGAAGUCGUAACAAGGUACC
RNAcentral lists this ribosomal RNA (204 nucleotides) under uncultured bacterium. RNAcentral's name for it is "partial 16S ribosomal RNA". It matches the Rfam family "Bacterial small subunit ribosomal RNA", at positions 1296 to 1500 of the family's 1533-position model. The record is from RNAcentral.